Molecule: long non-coding RNA, 1381 nt
Filed under: Neogale vison (American mink)
Lineage: Eukaryota; Metazoa; Chordata; Mammalia; Carnivora; Mustelidae
Description: Neovison vison (American mink) lncRNA (ENSNVIG00000016186.1)
Source: RNAcentral
CUGCAGCGGACAAGCCCUUACUUUGAGAAAGCCUCCAACCAUACGAUCUGGGUAGAAACUCGGCCUCGACUUGGUCCGGGGAGCUUUAGCAGGAAGACCCACCCUGCCCUUUAUCUCAAGAUCCGCCUUCUCCCGACCUCCGACAGGCGCUAGCCAGGUGGGGUCGGGACCUCCUUCCGCCCACCGAAACCAGCCGCCCGCUGGAGCGAUGAGCUUCCCCCCACCCACCUCCAGCGCUGCUCUGCGCGGGGCGGGGUCCAGCCCCCCGCGCUCCGCUUGCGAAGUGCGGAAGCCGACUUCCCUCCUCUUACACUCAAGUUUCCAAAGACGAAGACGCCCUGGCUCCCGGGAGACAAAGAGGCCCAAGGGCGACUUUUCCCAGCGGGAGGUGGCGGGGGCUUUGGAAGUGUAGUGGGUGGGUAAUUCCUCCCCGCGGCCUCCCCUCCGCCCGCAGACCACAGAGAACAAACGCCUUCUCCGAGGGCCGUCUCCUCCUCGGAAUCCGCAGCUCGACGUUUUUUUUCCCGCAGGUGGGUCACGACCCAUCAGUUACAUCCGAGGACAAGUUCAGGGUUCGCUAGUUUUGUGCAGAGACUCGUGUUGAGUAAUGCUAGCCCCAAAUUUGGAGAGGGGGGGAAAAGCACUCUUCCCACCUCCCAACGCCAGGUUCGCAAAGUCUGCACCCCAGUAACACAAGUCAGGGCAGCUUUCUAGAAAGGAAACCGUGUCCAAAGACCCCGGGGAGUAGGUGCGCUCGGGCAGCUGGAUGGGGGAGGGUGUGUAGCCGGUUGUGGGGGCUCCAAGAGACUCAGUGCGGCACCAGCCGACCCACGGCCCCUGCGGUAUCAGGAAUGCGAGACUCGCCGGUUCCGGCUCCCCGCGCCCCGGAGAGGUGAGAGGGAGCGGGUGCGCGCUGCCACCGCGAGCUCAUGUUUAUUCACGCAGCCUUAAACAGCCCGUUCGAAUACAUAUUCAUCGACCUCUCUAACUACUUGCUCAAGUCUAGGUUUGCAGGAGAACACUGAGUCCCUGAAAAGGCGGAACAGUAACUGGGGCUUGGGCUCUAGAAGCCUUGCUCUGGAGCAGAAGCAGCCUGUGCCUUUGUCCCGCAGCCGCGUCCCCAAGCGGCCCGACGUGGGGAGGUGGCUGAGAAGCGGGAUUAGGGCUAUUAGCUGAGGGCCUUAUUUAUGCCCCCAGGCUCUCGCCCAGGAGCCGGGAAGAGCUCCCAGGCUGUCCUACAGAGCCACCAGGGCAGACUUCCCAGCAAGAAACUGUGGAGCUCCCACGAUCGCUGCCGAACCUCUUCUGAAGUUCUACCGUAACUGUGAUUUCUUUUUCCUAAAUAAGUUUCAGGCAGCGCAUCAUGUGUUUUCCACUGCGG